This is a long non-coding RNA of Eucalyptus grandis, 651 nucleotides long. RefSeq lists it as uncharacterized. The record is from RefSeq and is a predicted model, not a curated record. Lineage: Eukaryota; Viridiplantae; Streptophyta; Magnoliopsida; Myrtales; Myrtaceae. The transcript is spliced from 3 exons.
CGGAACAAAGCUGGAGCACGUGAUAAAUCAAUUAGCGCAAGAUGUCGCGGAGAAGCAUGCAGCCGUGGAAGGGGACUUGGUGGUUCAACCUUCUGUUGAUCAUUUCUGGUUCCAUAGACCUCGCAUUGUCCUGCUGCUCAUUCAUAUCCUCCUCUUCCAAAAAGCUUUUGAGCUCGCUUUCUUCUUCUUCAUUUGUGCAAGGGAUAAAAAUAGCUGAAUUGCCAAAAGAAAAUAAGUGCUUACGAUUACUUACUGGAGCUUCCAUGGGGAAAAAACCUGGCAGGUUCAAUAUAGUUUUGACUCGUGCAUAAUGGGACAAGUCGGUUUCAUAAUCCCAAGACUCGUGAUAGGGCAAUGUUGUCAGGGUGUUGGUUCACUUCAUGUGCAGCUACAGCACCUUGCCACUCUAUGCGAUAGUUACCCAGAUGGGAAGCUCAUUCAAGAAGGCUAUAUUUGAGGAACACAUACAUGAGGGGCUCAGCGUCUGGACCCAGCAUGCAAAAAUGAAGAAGAAUGCAAGAAUGACGGCGACUGGCACACGAUUGACCACCCUCCCCGUGGACCCCAAAGUGACUUAACAAUCCCUUGGCGAGCCAACGAAAGAAGCUGAGAUCCAAUAUGAUCCUUCCUUCCAGGGACCAAAAGAGAUGU